AGCGGUUCGAAAGCUCCGGCGGUGCAGGAUGAGCCCGCGGCCUAUCAGCUUGUUGGUGAGGUAAUGGCUCACCAAGGCGACGACGGGUAGCCGGCCUGAGAGGGCGACCGGCCACACUGGGACUGAGACACGGCCCAGACUCCUACGGGAGGCAGCAGUGGGGAAUAUUGCACAAUGGGCGAAAGCCUGAUGCAGCGACGCCGCGUGAGGGAUGACGGCCUUCGGGUUGUAAACCUCUUUCAGCAGGGAAGAAGCGAAAGUGACGGUACCUGCAGAAUAAGCGCCGGCUAACUACGUGCCAGCAGCCGUGGUGAGGCGAAAAGAAAACAAACGUUGUCCGGAAUUAUUGGGCGUAAAGAGCUCGUAGGCGGCUUGUCACGUCGGUUGUGAAAGCCCGGGGCUUAACCCCGGGUCUGCAGUCGAUACGGGCAGGCUAGAGUUCGGUAGGGGAGAUCGGAAUUCCUGGUGUAGCGGUGAAAUGCGCAGAUAUCAGGAGGAACACCGGUGGCGAAGGCGGAUCUCUGGGCCGAUACUGACGCUGAGGAGCGAAAGCGUGGGGAGCGAACAGGAUUAGAUACCCUGGUAGUCCACGCCGUAAACGGUGGGCACUAGGUGUGGGCGACAUUCCACGUCGUCCGUGCCGCAGCUAACGCAUUAAGUGCCCCGCCUGGGGAGUACGGCCGCAAGGCUAAAACUCAAGGAAUUGACGGGGGCCCGCACAAGCGGCGGAUCAUGUGGCUUAUUCGACGCACGCGAGAAUCUUU
This 764-nucleotide ribosomal RNA is filed under the name Streptomyces variabilis. RNAcentral describes it as "bacterial SSU rRNA". It matches the Rfam family "Bacterial small subunit ribosomal RNA", at positions 194 to 972 of the family's 1533-position model. The record is from RNAcentral. Lineage: Bacteria; Bacillati; Actinomycetota; Actinomycetes; Kitasatosporales; Streptomycetaceae.